RNAcentral lists this transfer RNA (85 nucleotides) under Candidatus Peregrinibacteria bacterium RIFOXYA2_FULL_33_7. RNAcentral's name for it is "tRNA-Tyr". It matches the Rfam family "tRNA". From Rfam's summary of the family: Transfer RNA (tRNA) molecules are approximately 80 nucleotides in length. Their secondary structure includes four short double-helical elements and three loops (D, anti-codon, and T loops). The record is from RNAcentral. Lineage: Bacteria; Candidatus Peregrinibacteriota.
GGGCAGGUACCGAAGUGGCCAAACGGGGCAGACUGUAAAUCUGCUGGCUCUGCCUUCGGGGGUUCGAAUCCCUCCCUGCCCACCA